CAUUGGUGAGAAUCCAAUGCCUCGAAAACCCAAGGGUUCCUCCGCAAGGUUCGUCCACGGAGGGUGAGUUAGGGCCUAAGAUCAGGCCGAAAGGUGUAGUCAAUGGAUAGAAAGCUUUAUUUUUAUGAAUUGUUCAUUCAUUGAAUUAAUUUUAAAAUAAGUUGUAUCUUACUCAGACCAAUAAAUAAAGCUAAGGUUAUAGUUAAAGCUG
This is a non-coding RNA of Gossypium raimondii (Peruvian cotton), 211 nucleotides long. Lineage: Eukaryota; Viridiplantae; Streptophyta; Magnoliopsida; Malvales; Malvaceae. The record is from Rfam.